RNAcentral lists this ribosomal RNA (497 nucleotides) under uncultured bacterium. RNAcentral describes it as "partial 16S ribosomal RNA". It matches the Rfam family "Bacterial small subunit ribosomal RNA", at positions 28 to 507 of the family's 1533-position model. The record is from RNAcentral.
GAUGAACGCUGGCGGCGUGCCUAAUACAUGCAAGUCGAGCGAACAGACGAGGAGCUUGCUCCUCUGACGUUAGCGGCGGACGGGUGAGUAACGCGUGGAUAACCUACCUAUAAGACUGGGAUAACUUCGGGAAACCGGAGCUAAUACCGGAUAAUAUAUUGAACCGCAUGGUUCAAUAGUGAAAGACGGUUUUGCUGUCACUUAUAGAUGGAUCCGCGCCGCAUUAGCUAGUUGGUAAGGUAACGGCUUACCAAGGCAACGAUGCGUAGCCGACCUGAGAGGGUGAUCGGCCACACUGGAACUGAGACACGGUCCAGACUCCUACGGGAGGCAGCAGUAGGGAAUCUUCCGCAAUGGGCGAAAGCCUGACGGAGCAACGCCGCGUGAAUGAUGAAGGUCUUCGGAUCGUAAAACUCUGUUAUUAGGGAAGAACAAAUGUGUAAGUAACUAUGCACGUCUUGACGGUACCUAAUCAGAAAGCCACGGCUAACUACGUG